RNAcentral lists this ribosomal RNA (445 nucleotides) under uncultured bacterium. RNAcentral describes it as "bacterial SSU rRNA". It matches the Rfam family "Bacterial small subunit ribosomal RNA", at positions 354 to 796 of the family's 1533-position model. The record is from RNAcentral.
GUGAGGAAUAUUGCGCAAUGGAGGCAACUCUGACGCAGCCAUGCCGCGUGCAGGAAGAAGGCGCUACGCGUUGUAAACUGCUUUUAACCGGGAAGAAACCCCAGGACGUGUCCUGGGUUGACGGUACCGGAGGAAUAAGCACCGGCUAACUUCGUGCCAGCAGCCGCGGUAAUACGAAGGGUGCAAGCGUUAUCCGGAUUCAUUGGGUUUAAAGGGUGCGUAGGCGGAGCGUUAAGUCAGUGGUGAAAUCCUGCAGCUUAACUGUAGACUUGCCAUUGAUACUGGCGCUCUUGAGUGUGCUUGAAGUGGGCGGAAUGUGCCGUGUAGCGGUGAAAUGCUUAGAUAUGGCACAGAACACCAAUUGCGAAGGCAGCUCACUAAGGCGAUACUGACGCUGAGGCACGAAAGCGUGGGGAUCGAACAGGAUUAGAAACCCCUGUAGUCC